RNAcentral lists this non-coding RNA (48 nucleotides) under Trichobilharzia regenti. Lineage: Eukaryota; Metazoa; Platyhelminthes; Trematoda; Strigeidida; Schistosomatidae. The record is from RNAcentral.
AGUUAGCUGACGAGUCCCAAAUCGGACGAAAUGCAUAUCAAGCUGGAU